RNAcentral lists this ribosomal RNA (253 nucleotides) under uncultured bacterium. RNAcentral's name for it is "partial 16S ribosomal RNA". It matches the Rfam family "Bacterial small subunit ribosomal RNA", at positions 524 to 776 of the family's 1533-position model. The record is from RNAcentral.
UACGUAGGGGGCAAGCGUUGUCCGGAAUUAUUGGGCGUAAAGAGCUCGUAGGCGGUUUGUCGCGUCUGCCGUGAAAGUCCGGGGCUCAACUCCGGAUCUGCGGUGGGUACGGGCAGACUAGAGUGAUGUAGGGGAGACUGGAAUUCCUGGUGUAGCGGUGAAAUGCGCAGAUAUCAGGAGGAACACCGAUGGCGAAGGCAGGUCUCUGGGCAUUAACUGACGCUGAGGAGCGAAAGCAUGGGGAGCGAACAGG